AUGCGAACAGCCGUCUCCACUUUGUUCACAUUCUGGCCUCCUUUACCUCCAGCUCUCGUAAAACUUAUGUCCAGAUCCUCUUCAGGAAUUUCUACAUCCAAGGAUUCCUCUGGUAAAAGAGGCAUGACCUCAACACCAGCAAAGCUGGUCUGUAAAAAUUAG
Molecule: ribosomal RNA, 162 nt
Filed under: Triticum aestivum (bread wheat)
Lineage: Eukaryota; Viridiplantae; Streptophyta; Magnoliopsida; Poales; Poaceae
Description: partial small subunit ribosomal RNA
Source: RNAcentral